GGGAAGGGUGAAGAACGGUUUAACCCACGAACAACGGUUGCCUAGAAAAGAAGAAGAACUAAAGAACGCGGAGACAAAUUAAAAAACAAAUUGAAAAACCAACUCAAAUCCGCUGCAGUUCAUGUCAGUUUUAACACUUCCCACACGACCCAAUAUCCUCAUGCCAUUACACAGCAGUUUCUUUCAGUUUUUUUGCUUCAAUGAAUCUUCUUUCUGCAGAGCAUCAAGAUGUCAGGGAGCACCAAUGAAGAGCAUUUAGAUUUGAUGGGUUUGAUGUGAAUGGUAUGAAUCUCCCUCUCUCAUUUUGGUUUUUUUGCUUCAAUGAAUCUUCUUUCUGCAGAGCAUCAAGAUGUCAGGGAGCACCAGUGAAGAGCAUUUAGAUUUGAUGGGUUUGAUGUGAAUGACCUGUGAAGAUACUUGGCAACAGGUUGGUUGACAGUUAAAUUCUUCAGUAUGUUUUGGAUUUUUAAUUCUAUUUACUCUCGAUUUGAUUUUGAUUUUUAAUUAUUUUCCCUUCCCCUCAAGUUUGAUUGCAUUGCAUUGAUGUCUCUCUUUAUCUUUGAAACAUGGCCUUGCUGUUUAAUUUGAUUAUGCUAACACUAAUUCAUUCAUCCAUUCAUGCCCUCCGUCUUCUUCCGCACAAUGAAUUCCUCCACCUUUGUUGAAGUUUAUCUCUUUUCUUUUGUAAGAAGAAGCAGGGGAAGACUUCCCUAUCUUAGAGUAUCUAUAAGAUAUAUUUUUUUUCUUUUUCAAUUUUUCGAUUUAAUUAGUUUAAUUCCUCCUUUGUAUGCAUCUAAGUGUGUUUUAUGGGAUUUGCUGCGUACUGUGUUGUUGGCAAACAGAUAUCUAUUGCAUUUUUAGAAAGGAUGAAAGCUGACUUAGAAAAAGAUAUGGGGUGGGUCAUUUGCUGGAGGAGAAAGCAGCGCAGUAGAGACUCAAAACAGAGAGAGGGGUGGAAUUAAGGAAUAAGAAAAGAAAAGAAAAGAAAAGCACACGUUAGAC
Molecule: non-coding RNA, 1002 nt
Organism: Prunus avium (sweet cherry)
Lineage: Eukaryota; Viridiplantae; Streptophyta; Magnoliopsida; Rosales; Rosaceae
Source: RefSeq, a predicted model, not a curated record